AUGAAAGAAUACUGAAGAAUCAAGGUACUCUUUAGAAACAAUUCUUUAGAAGGAAACGAAGUAGUAUUCUCAAAGUAACAAACUUAACUCUACUCUUUCACUGGCUACAAUACAUGUUUAUAUAGGAAAUAGAAGCCUAAACUGCUGUUAACAGAAUAGCCUAACAAAUUCUAACUGACUAACCACUUAUCUAAUGACAUAUUAAACAUAUGUGUAUUGUGAAUACUAUAACA
This 233-nucleotide long non-coding RNA is filed under the name Gossypium barbadense (sea-island cotton). RNAcentral describes it as "long non-coding RNA (GBAR_LNC005533)". Lineage: Eukaryota; Viridiplantae; Streptophyta; Magnoliopsida; Malvales; Malvaceae. The record is from RNAcentral.